This 69-nucleotide transfer RNA is filed under the name Amolops hongkongensis (Hong Kong sucker frog). Its description in RNAcentral is "tRNA-Leu". It matches the Rfam family "tRNA". From Rfam's summary of the family: Transfer RNA (tRNA) molecules are approximately 80 nucleotides in length. Their secondary structure includes four short double-helical elements and three loops (D, anti-codon, and T loops). Further hydrogen bonds mediate the characteristic L-shaped molecular structure. tRNAs have two regions of fundamental functional importance: the anti-codon, which is responsible for specific mRNA codon recognition, and the 3' end, to which the tRNAs corresponding amino acid is attached (by aminoacyl-tRNA synthetases). tRNAs cope with the degeneracy of the genetic code in two manners: having more than one tRNA (with a specific anti-codon) for a particular amino acid; and 'wobble' base-pairing, i.e. permitting non-standard base-pairing at the 3rd anti-codon position. Lineage: Eukaryota; Metazoa; Chordata; Amphibia; Anura; Ranidae. The record is from RNAcentral.
AGUGUGGCAGAAUCGGCCAUGCAGAAAACCUAAACCUUUCACACUGGGGUUCAAAUCCCCCCACUAACU